UCCCAGAACCCCAGGAACCCAGGAUCCCAGGACCCCAGGAUCCUGACCUGAGCUGAGGGCAGAUGCUUAACCAACUGUGCCACCCAGGCACCCCUGUUCAGUUUUUUUUUUAAACUGGGUUUGUCUGUCUUCUUAUGGAAUUGACCCCUGGUACAAUGUUGAAGACAAUGGUGAUAGGAGUCGUGCUUGUCCUGUUUCCCAUGUUAUAAAAAAAAG
This is a long non-coding RNA of Ailuropoda melanoleuca (giant panda), 216 nucleotides long. RefSeq lists it as uncharacterized. NCBI's taxonomy places the organism in Eukaryota, Metazoa, Chordata, Mammalia, Carnivora, Ursidae. The transcript has 2 exons. The record is from RefSeq and is a predicted model, not a curated record.